UUUCCGUAGGUGAACCUGCGGAAGGAUCAUUACCGAGUGAGGGCCCUCUGGGUCCAACCUCCCACCCGUGUUUAUCGUACCUUGUUGCUUCGGCGGGCCCGCCGCAAGGCCGCCGGGGGGCAUCUGCCCUCUGGCCCGCGCCCGCCGAAGACACCAUUGAACGCUGCCUGAAGAUUGCAGUCUGAGCAAUUAGUUAAAUAACUUAAAACUUUCAACAACGGAUCUCUUGGUUCCG
Molecule: unclassified non-coding RNA, 235 nt
Filed under: plant metagenome
Description: partial contains small subunit ribosomal RNA, internal transcribed spacer 1, and 5.8S ribosomal RNA
Source: RNAcentral